RNAcentral lists this ribosomal RNA (465 nucleotides) under Vreelandella stevensii. Its description in RNAcentral is "partial 16S ribosomal RNA". It matches the Rfam family "Bacterial small subunit ribosomal RNA", at positions 338 to 795 of the family's 1533-position model. Lineage: Bacteria; Pseudomonadati; Pseudomonadota; Gammaproteobacteria; Oceanospirillales; Halomonadaceae. The record is from RNAcentral.
CCUACGGGCGGCAGCAGUGGGGAAUAUUGGACAAUGGGCGAAAGCCUGAUCCAGCCAUGCCGCGUGUGUGAAGAAGGCCUUCGGGUUGUAAAGCACUUUCAGUGGGGAAGAAAGCCUUGGGGCUAAUACCCUCGAGGAAGGACAUCACCCACAGAAGAAGCACCGGCUAACUCCGUGCCAGCAGCCUCGGUAAUACGGAGGGUGCGAGCGUUAAUCGGAAUUACUGGGCGUAAAGCGCGCGUAGGCGGUCUGAUAAGCCGGUUGUGAAAGCCCCGGGCUCAACCUGGGAACGGCAUCCGGAACUGAGAGGCUAGAGUGCAGCAGAGGAAACGAGAAUUACGGGGGAACAGGCGAAAUGCGUAGACAGCGGCAGGAAUAACAGUGGAGAAGGAGGGCCUAUGGAACGACAAUGACUCGGAUGCUCGUAAGAGUGGGUAGCAAACAGGACUAGAGACCAGAGUAUUA